This 301-nucleotide ribosomal RNA is filed under the name uncultured bacterium. RNAcentral describes it as "partial 16S ribosomal RNA". It matches the Rfam family "Bacterial small subunit ribosomal RNA", at positions 509 to 807 of the family's 1533-position model. The record is from RNAcentral.
CAGCAGCCACGGGAAUGCGGAGGGUGCAAGCGUUAAUCGGAAUUACUGGGCGUAAAGCGUGCGUAGGCGGUUCGUUAAGUCUGUUGUGAAAGCCCCGGGCUCAACCUGGGAAUGGCAAUGGAUACUGGCGAGCUAGAGUGUGUCAGAGGAUGGUGGAAUUCCCGGUGUAGCGGUGAAAUGCGUAGAGAUCGGGAGGAACAUCAGUGGCGAAGGCGGCCAUCUGGGACAACACUGACGCUGAGGCACGAAAGCGUGGGGAGCAAACAGGAUUAGAUACCCCGGUAGUCCCUGUCUCUUAUAC